This 427-nucleotide ribosomal RNA is filed under the name uncultured bacterium. RNAcentral's name for it is "bacterial SSU rRNA". It matches the Rfam family "Bacterial small subunit ribosomal RNA", at positions 355 to 774 of the family's 1533-position model. The record is from RNAcentral.
UGGGGAAUUUUGGACAAUGGGCGCAAGCCUGAUCCAGCAAUGCCGCGUGCAGGAUGAAGGCCUUCGGGUUGUAAACUGCUUUUGUACGGAACGAAACGGCUCUGUCUAAUACAUGGGGCUAAUGACGGUACCGUAAUAAUAAGCACCGGCUAACUACGUGCCAGCAGCCGCGGUAAUACGUAGGGUGCAAGCGUUAAUCGGAAUUACUGGGCGUAAAGCGUGCGCAGGCGGUUAUGCAAGACAGAUGUAAAAUCCCCGGGCUCAACCUGGGAACUGCAUUUGUGACUGUAGAGGUAGAGUACGGCAGAGGGGGAUGGAAUUCCGCGUGUAGCAGUGAAAUGCGUAGAUAUGCGGAGGAACAACGAUGGCGAAGGCAAUCCCCUGGGCCUGUACUGACGCUCAUGCACGAAAGCGUGGGGAGCAAACA